Molecule: ribosomal RNA, 523 nt
Filed under: Salmonella enterica subsp. enterica serovar Enteritidis
Lineage: Bacteria; Pseudomonadati; Pseudomonadota; Gammaproteobacteria; Enterobacterales; Enterobacteriaceae
Description: partial 23S ribosomal RNA
Rfam family: Bacterial large subunit ribosomal RNA (bases 1-366)
Source: RNAcentral
AAUCCAUAGGUUAAUGAGGCGAACCGGGGGAACUGAAACAUCUAAGUACCCCGAGGAAAAGAAAUCAACCGAGAUUCCCCCAGUAGCGGCGAGCGAACGGGGAGGAGCCCAGAGCCUGAAUCAGCAUGUGUGUUAGUGGAAGCGUCUGGAAAGGCGCGCGAUACAGGGUGACAGCCCCGUACACAAAAGCGCAUGUGCUGUGAGCUCGAUGAGUAGGGCGGGACACGUGGUAUCCUGUCUGAAUAUGGGGGGACCAUCCUCCAAGGCUAAAUACUCCUGACUGACCGAUAGUGAACCAGUACCGUGAGGGAAAGGCGAAAAGAACCCCGGCGAGGGGAGUGAAAAAGAACCUGAAACCGUGUACGUACAAGCAGUGGGAGCCCCACCACCAAAGCAUUUGCUGUACCGCGUUGACGGAGCGAAGCGACGUCAAACCGAUAAAACAGCAGUGUAAAGUGAGCCGCAGGGCGCUUUGCGCGACAGCGCAAAGGCAGGCGGUUUCGCGUAGCGAAAGCGAAUGCUU